GGGACAACAGAUGUUAGUUGCAAGCAGCCCUGUAAAAAUCAGGGUAAUUCUUUAGAGGAGAAUGGUGUUGUAGAUCAGUUUCAAAAUGCUAGUUUGUCUGUAGGAAGUGGCAAAAGUUUAUGGCAAUCAAAUUUAGGGAAAAGGACAAUUCAGAAUGUUGCCACAUGUGAAAGCUCUUCCAAAGAAGUAGGUAUCGUUUUUGGUUCUGACAAUGGCCACAAUAUUUCAGGAGAGAUUAAAAUUUCCAGCCAUGAGGCUAUUGAUGAAAUUCUUGAGAGGGCAUCUUCAGAUAGUGUUAGUGUACCUCUUGAGAAUGUUCCUACAGGAGGA
Molecule: unclassified non-coding RNA, 330 nt
Filed under: Hevea brasiliensis (rubber tree)
Lineage: Eukaryota; Viridiplantae; Streptophyta; Magnoliopsida; Malpighiales; Euphorbiaceae
Source: RNAcentral